AGAGUUUGAUCAUGGCUCAGAAUCAACGCUGGCGGCGUGCCUCAGACAUGCAAGUCGAACGCGAAAGUCCCCUUCGGGGGACAAGUAGAGUGGCGCACGGGUGAGUAACACGUAGGUAAUCUACCUUUGGAUUGGGAAUAACCACCGGAAACGGUGGCUAAUACCGAAUAAUGCAGCGGCACCUAAUGGUGACAGUUGUUAAAGCGGGGGAUCGCAAGACCUCGCGUCUGAAGAGGAGCCUGCGGCAGAUUAGCUAGUUGGUAAGGUAACGGCUUACCAAGGCGAUGAUCUGUAGCCGGCCUGAGAGGGCGGUCGGCCACACUGACACUGACAUACGGGUCAGACUCCUACGGGAGGCAGC
This 361-nucleotide ribosomal RNA is filed under the name uncultured bacterium. Its description in RNAcentral is "bacterial SSU rRNA". It matches the Rfam family "Bacterial small subunit ribosomal RNA", at positions 8 to 352 of the family's 1533-position model. The record is from RNAcentral.